AAUUUUGCGCAAUGGGGGAAACCCUGACGCAGCAACACCGCGUGAAUGUUAAGCCCUUCGGGGUGUAAAGUUCUGUCAGUGGGGAAGAAUUUUGACUGUACCCACAAAGGAAGCACCGGCUAACUCCGUGCCAGCAGCCGCGGUAAUACGGGGGGUGCAAGCGUUGUCCGGAAUCAUUGGGCGUAAAGCGUUCGUAGGCGGCAUGUCAAGUCUGGUGUUAAAGCCCGGGGCUCAACUCCGGUUCUGCAUCGGAUACUGGCAAGCUAGAAUGUGGUAGAGGUAAAGGGAAUUCCUGGUGUAGCGGUGAAAUGCGUAGAUAUCAGGAGGAACAUCGGUGGCGAAAGCGCUUUACUGGGCCAUUAUUGACGCUGAGGAACGAAAGCCGGGGGAGCAAAUGGG
RNAcentral lists this ribosomal RNA (399 nucleotides) under uncultured bacterium. RNAcentral describes it as "bacterial SSU rRNA". It matches the Rfam family "Bacterial small subunit ribosomal RNA", at positions 360 to 776 of the family's 1533-position model. The record is from RNAcentral.